This 105-nucleotide small nuclear RNA is filed under the name Chinchilla lanigera (long-tailed chinchilla). Lineage: Eukaryota; Metazoa; Chordata; Mammalia; Rodentia; Chinchillidae. The record is from RNAcentral.
GUGCUUGCUUUGACAGCACAUAUACUAAAAUUGAGCAAUACAGAGAAGAUUCACACGGUCCUGCAUGAGGAUAACAUGAAAAUUUGUGAAGCUUAUAUAUUUUUA